CCACCACUGCCCACUGGGGACCUCUGAGAGAGGAUGUCCUCCUGAAAGCAGAGAGCACUGGAGGGGCUCAGGAGCCCCUGUCAUCUUCUGUGAGGGCUCCUAAGUUAGCCCCUAACAAGUCUCGCCCUCCACCCUUUCUCCACCUACCAACCAAAGGAAACUGCAAAACGUCGUAAACGGGAUCAUUGCGUUCAUCCCUCCCCAGCUUACAUCACUUCAAAGCUGGGAAAGGUUCUCUGCUUUUAGGGACUCAUGUGAUUAGACUGGGCCCACCAGGAUCAUCCAGGAUAUCCUCCCAUCUCAACGAGGACAGGGUUUGCUUCUCUUCUGCUUCCUGUUGGAUCUGCAGGAACCCCCGCCCCGCCCAGUGCCUGGUCCUCUCCCCCAUAUACUCAAUGCCUGAUGGUGAAUGAACAAACGGACACGUCUCUCCGAUCUGGAUCUCCCAGGACCGCCCGUGGAUCGCUGCCCUCCUCCACAUUGGAGCUCCUGGGUGCAGACUGCUCUGCUGACCGACCCUGGACCCUCUGGAGGCCAUGUCUGGACGUCCUCUUUCCAUUUCCAGUCCAGUCCCCUUGCCUCUAUUCCACACUACAGGAAUUUUAUCUCUGAUGCCAAUUUUGGGAUUAAUACUCGUCUCAGAAAUUGGCACAAGUCCAGAGAGAACAUAGGAUUUAGUCAAACCAUAUUUACUGAGCACCUAAUCUGUCCCAGGUCUUAUACUGAAAGUUGUUCAAAACUGAGCAACCACAGAAACCACCGUUGAGAGCUCACAAAAUGGCAAAGACACAAAUAACCACCAAAGAAUGAUACAGGCCCCAAUUCUGCUGCCACAGCUAUGCGACGGGGGUUGGGCUGCAGGGGAAAGAAAAGACAGAAGUGUCCAGUUGUUUCUCCACCAGACCAUCCUACUAAGGGCAGAACUCAUCACCAGCUGCCCCUCUGGCUCAGGUGGAGGGGAGGCAGGGAGAGCCGGUGGAAAAGGUUUGGGGUGGAAGCAAGAAGUGUGAACAAGAUUUUACUUCUCAUUUAAGUGUAGUUACCGUCUAAUUCCAGCAAGGCAGAGGCUCAGGCUCUGAAAAGCCUUUAGAAACGGGAAGGACUGUUCUCCAAACAGGCACUCAUCCUCAAGUGAGGAUCCACCUGGCCGACUUCAUGGAAGGGCCCCAAGGAUGAACGAAGGCAGCGUCAGCAGGCCUCUGGAGCAGGGACAGAGCUGCCCAACUAGGAGGGAGGACACAGCCCCCUUGGGCCCUACUUCUCAGAGACUCUUUCUCAGACGCCAAAGCGCUCAGUUGGGAAAAUUGCAAAAUAAUAGUAAAAAGAUUUUCAAGUUGGAAAGUGCAGCCCUGAAGUUGAUAGGCACCAGGCAGGCCAUGAAGUUCCAUCAACUGCCAGCUGAGAUGCGAGACCCCGGGGGCAGCCAGAGGACCAGCAGGCAGGUGACACACAGAUGAAAUGUGUCAUCUAUCUCGUUGGCCUUGCUCACCCAUGGAAUCCCAUCAGAGGGCUCAUGGGAAGACAUGGUGGGGCUCGCGACAUACCUCCAACUUGCUAGCUCACGUUAGUCCUUUACUUGGGCCCUUGGUUGUGGCUGACACAGAGUUUUACUAAUGCACAGUGAUCUGCCAAACCAUUUUGGCUGUGUUUUUCUGGAAGCCAGAGAGAAGAACGCUAUAAAAAAUAACAAGCUAAGCAGAAUGCCCUGCCUGUCUCCCCGAGGGGCCACCAGCUAUUUCCCAUGAAAAUAAAGAACAGGGAAGAAUUAAGAGCGGGGAGGGGAGGAUCAGAGAAAGCCAUCUGUAAAACCAGGAGGGUUUUCAAUGACUUUUCAGCAGCAAAAGAACAAUUAUUAUAUUAUUCUGAGGGCAUUCAAAAUUCUUGAAAAUUGAGAGAACUUGAAAGUGAAUUGAUGCUGUUGUUUUUGCUUUUUAACCAGCAUUUUGAAAUGUUAUGGGAGCCUCAAAAUAAGUUUUAAGAACUGCCACUCUGUUCCCUGAUGUGAAGGGGGCUCCAUGGGGCUUCUACCGUAAUCCGGGUAAGUAAAGAGUGGAUUAAGGCAGUAAUUUGCAGUAGCUAAAAAAAGAACUACAAAGGCACAAGUGCUACCAAUUAUAUCUCAACACAAACCAGUGCCUCCUUAAGCCUCGACGCAGAGAAGGCAAACAAUUUCAUUGUCAAGCAGGGGUUCUCUGGAAAGCCUGGGAGCAUGCGGGGCGCAUUAAAGGGGAGAUAUCUCGCAUGUGCAAUUACUCAACACAUCUUUAAAACUGUAAACACUUGUUCACAUGUGGAGAAGUUUAGAGCUGCGCAGGCUUGGAAAACCCACCUGGCAGGCGGGCUCCCUCCAUCUCUCUCCAGUUGAGUAACAGUUCUCGCCGCCCGCUGUUCCUCCGAGAGCCAAACACAAGUCAGCGGAGAAAUCAUUACGGAGUGGGGGGCAGGAGUUCACGCGCGUUCUAUUUUUAGCCAGAGCGCUCCCUUUUCCCCUCUCCCGAUUGAUCCGCUCGUAUAAACCUUGCCUCCGUUUCUCCCCGCCCCACCUAGCUGCCUCUGGGAGCCUGCGCACUCAGAGGUGCCUUUUGGUUCUGGCCUGCUGCUCUCUCCACCUUUGAUUGGUGAGUGGCACUGAGGAUGCCGACAUGUCCAAGUAAUCUCGGCGGAGGAACUUUGCCCAGCGUUGGUGUUGGAAAGAGAAGGCUGGGUGGCCUCAAAGAAUAGUCCCAUGCGUGGAAAAAUCCUCUCUCCCAACGUGCUCAACAGAAGAAAGUAUAGAAGUCGAGGACACCAGCUUAUAGAGCUGGGAAUGAAACGGAAAUAAAGCAAAGUUUAUUCUCUCCCGUCGGCCCCGGCCUGGCUUACUGGAGAACCACACUCAGAUGUGUGUGAGUCACAUGUCAAACGUGGAAAAAACCCACUAGACCUUCCUGCUUAGUUGGCUGCCCAACGAGAGGGCACGGCUGCUUCUCCUUUCCCGGGGCGGAUCUUACAUGUCUCCAGCAAGGAACCGAUUGUUUUGCUUCUCUGAUUUAACUUGCCAUCGUGAGGCCUCUGGGGAGGGAAGCAAGCCAGUUCCCCGGCCCCUCAGAUCCGCAGGCACACACGCUCUAGGCACCCGAGACAAGCUCAAAGGAGAGGGCGUGUGCUCCAUCCAGAGGGCAGUACACCCAGCCGUGGAAAGAUGGCAAUAAAUCCCUGAGAAAUUAAAAUUUCACUUGAAGUGGAAAUUUGACCAUCACCGAAACUCUGCCAAAUUUUGGAUUUGCGGAUUGGUAAAGAGGUUUCCAAAAUGAAAUGAUGUCUACAGGUUGUUUGUUUUAAAGGACGUAAUAUAUAGUAAAAAUGAAAUAAGCAUCCCACCCGAGUAAGAGUGAUUUCUCUCCCAGCAGACCUUUUCCAGGCUCUAGUAAUUUCGCUGUUAAUGGGCAGAGGGAACGUAAUCAGCUAGGUAAUGGGCACCCCUACCACUGAAGUCAUUUAAUUAGCACCAGUAAAUGAAAGCUGCCCAGGUGCUUGGGCCCAAUUAGCUGUGCCCGAAACAUCUCCCACAUGGGCCAGCAAUUAGAGCCUAGGGUGGGGAGCUGAGCGCCCUCGGAGAAGACUGCCCCAGCAGAGCACCCCCCUUCAACAAGCCAAGCAAUGCCAGAGCCCCCGAAUCCUCAGGAAGCCAUCGCACUUGGAGAGGCAAAGACACAAUUUAUAGAGUCACAUAAUAAUUUUUAAUGAUACAGUAUUUUCCAAGUAAUAAUAGAAGUCUGGGCUCUGAAGUCGUAUCACCUAGGUUUGAAUCCUGGCUAUAUGCUUUGAGCAAGUUACUAAGACCUUUUUGUCUCAGUUUCCUCAUCUGCAAAAUGGGAUAAUAAUAAAAUCUACUUGAGGCCUAAGUGAGUUAAUAUGUAUAAAAUGCUGCUUAGAAGACUUACUGGCACAUACUUUCAUAAGUGUUGUUAUUUUUACCAUAUUUUUUAAUUAUUCUUGUUAUUAUACAUUUAUCUCACUUUAUUUUUAUCUCACCAAUGCAUCGUGGUAGCC
This 4032-nucleotide long non-coding RNA is filed under the name Equus caballus (horse). RNAcentral describes it as "lncRNA (ENSECAG00000057986.1)". The record is from RNAcentral. Lineage: Eukaryota; Metazoa; Chordata; Mammalia; Perissodactyla; Equidae.